RNAcentral lists this unclassified non-coding RNA (268 nucleotides) under uncultured Chaetothyriales. Its description in RNAcentral is "sequence contains 5.8S rRNA gene, ITS2, 28S rRNA gene". The record is from RNAcentral. Lineage: Eukaryota; Fungi; Ascomycota; Eurotiomycetes; Chaetothyriales.
AACGCACAUUGCGCCCUUUGGUAUUCCGAAGGGCAUGCCUGUUCAAGCGUCAUUUUCACCCCUCAAGCCCCCGGCUUGGUGUUGGACGGCCUGGUUUAGGCAUUCCUAAACCCCUCCUAAAGACAAUGACGGCGGCUGUUGCACCCCCGGUACACUGAGCUUCGUAACUGAGCACGUAUCGGAUUAAAGGGUCGGCGGCAUCCGGUCUCCACCUUAUUUUCUUUCUAAGGUUGACCUCGGAUCAGGUAGGAAUACCCGCUGAACUUAA